UACGUAGGGUGCAAGCGUUGUCCGGAAUUAUUGGGCGUAAAGGAGCUCGUAGGCGGUUUGUUGCGUCGGCUGUGAAAUCCCGAGGCUCAACCUCGGGUCUGCAGUCGAUACGAGCAAACUAGAGUGUUGCAGGGGAGACUGGAAUUCCUGGUGUAGCGGUGAAAUGCGCAGAUAUCAGGAGGAACACCGGUGGCGAAGGCGACAUCCUGGACCGGUAUUGACGCUGAGGCGCGGAAAGCCAGGGGAGCAAACGGG
This 255-nucleotide ribosomal RNA is filed under the name uncultured bacterium. RNAcentral describes it as "partial 16S ribosomal RNA". It matches the Rfam family "Bacterial small subunit ribosomal RNA", at positions 524 to 776 of the family's 1533-position model. The record is from RNAcentral.